CCCAGACUCCUACGGGAGGCAGCAGUGGGGAAUAUUGCACAAUGGGGGAAACCCUGAUGCAGCGACGCCGCGUGAAGGAUGAAGUAUUUCGGUAUGUAAACUUCUAUCAGCAGGGAAGAAAAUGACGGUACCUGACUAAGAAGCCCCGGCUAACUACGUGCCAGCAGCCGCGGUAAUACGUAGGGGGCAAGCGUUGUCCGGAUUUACUGGGUGUAAAGGGCGUGUAGCCGGGCUUACAAGUCAGAUGUGAAAUCCGGGGGCUCAACCCCCGAACUGCAUUUGAAACUGUAGGUCUUGAGUAUCGGAGAGGCAGGCGGAAUUCCUAGUGUAGCGGUGAAAUGCGUAGAUAUUAGGAGGAACACCAGUGGCGAAGGCGGCCUGCUGGACGACAACUGACGGUGAGGCGCGGAAGCGUGGGGAGCAAACAGGAUUAGAUACCCCUGUAU
Molecule: ribosomal RNA, 446 nt
Filed under: uncultured bacterium
Lineage: Bacteria
Description: bacterial SSU rRNA
Rfam family: Bacterial small subunit ribosomal RNA
Source: RNAcentral